Ornithorhynchus anatinus (platypus) is the source of this 3009-nucleotide long non-coding RNA. RefSeq lists it as uncharacterized. The record is from RefSeq and is a predicted model, not a curated record. NCBI's taxonomy places the organism in Eukaryota, Metazoa, Chordata, Mammalia, Monotremata, Ornithorhynchidae. The transcript is spliced from 2 exons.
GUGCCCAGGGCUAAGGCAACUCCUGUCGCCUUACCCCUCCAAACAAUCAAUGCUAUCUACUGAGUACUUCCUGUAUGCAGUAUACUGUUCUAAGCCCUUAGGAAUGAACAGUGCAGUUGGUAGACACCCUCCCUACCCAUAAAGAGCUUACAGUCUAGUGGGGGAAUCAGACAAGAAACUCAAUUACAGAUAGGAGAAGCAACAGAAUACCAGGAUAUGUACAUUAGGACUCUGGAGUGGAGUGAAUAACAAAGUGUUGGGGAGAAUGAUCACAAGUUCAUAAGAGAUGCAGAAUGGAAAACUAGAGCAGGAAGAUGAGAAGUUAGUCAACGAAGGUUUUCUGGAGGAGAUAUGAUUUUGGUAGAGCCUUGUAAAUGGGUUGAACUUUUGUCGCUGAUAUGAAGGGGGAGAGAAUUUCCAGGCCAGAGGGACGAUGUGAGCAAAGGGUCAACAGAAAAAGAAAUAAGAUGAAUAAAUAGGUUCCCUGGAGGAGCAAAGUGGUAUGGACUGGGUUGCAGUGGUGGUUAAGCGAGGAUAAGCAAGAGGGAGAGGGUCGAUUGAGUGCUUUAAAGCUGUUGGCAAUUAAUUUCUGUUUGGUGUGGAGAAGAAUGGGCAACCCCUAGGGUUGAGGGAUCAGGUGCAGAAAGAUUUUUCAGAAAAAUGCUCUGGGCAGCAGAGUGGAGUAUUGACUGGAUUGGGGAAAGCCCGGAGCCAGGGAUAUCAGUGAUAAGGAUGAUCCAGAAGUCAAGGCAGGAUCGACUUGCUCGGACCUGUGUGGUGGCAGUUUGAAUGAAGACAAAGGGGUAGGUUCUAGAGAUUUUGUGAAGGUAGAGCCAACAGUAGCUGGUUAGUAGUGGGAAAUGGACAUUGAAAGUCAAAGAAGACUGUAAGGUUUGGGAUCUCUUACAUCCCCAGAGCUCCCUGAAGCAACAGACACUGUCCAGUGGUCACCCCUGAGAAAGCCACCACCACAACAGGCUUCAGGACCUUUUGUGAACUGAGCAGGAGUUUGCAACACAUGUGAUUCAGGCUCCCUUUUCUUAACCUGCUCCCACAGAAAGAUUCCCAGGCAUGUGCCCUAGUAAAAAUUGAUCAUUAUGAUAUUUUUAUGUGCUCACUAUGUGCCCAGCAGUUGGGGAGACAAAGGAUAAUUAUGCUGGAAACAUUCCCCAUCCCACAAGGGCUCAGGGCCUAGUUGGCAAGAGAGAAAAAGUAUUUAAUUUAUAUUUUCCAGAUGAGGAAACAGGCAGAGAAGGGCCAAGUGAUUUGUGCAGGGUCAAUCAAUUGAUUCUCUGAUUGAACAGGGUCACCAAAAGGCAGGUGGUGAAGUGAAGAUUAGAACCCAGCUCCUGCUGACCUGAGACUCAAGUUCUAUCCCCUAAGUCUCACUGCUUCAGUGAUUCUAGCACCAGAAAUAUUUAUGAAACAUUUGCAUUACCAGCCCUGAAACAGGAGCUAAGGAAACUGAGUAAUUCAUUCCUCCUGGCCCAUGGGAGGCUCACACAGAAAGGGGGUGGGAGGGUCUACUGGAAAGAUCCAAUUCAAAACUUAGGUCCAGGUCAUGAGCCCAUUUCCAUAGAGGAGAGUUUACUUCUGUAGUAGCCCCAGGCUCAAUUUCCUGAUAAUCUCCUGUGCUCAGUUUGGGAUCCUAGUCCAACAAACCUUCUACCCUCAAACUUAAUCAAUCCAUCAAUUUUAUUUAUUGAGCAAUUAUGGUGUAUGUGGCACUCUACUAAGUAAUGGGGGGAGGGUACAACACAACAAUAUAACAUUUUCCCUCCCCACAGCUAGAAAUUGUCUCCUGAAGUCAAGCAAGAGGGAGAUGGGAGUAACAUCAUCAAGGAAGGCCUGAGCACUGUGCUGUGUGUCCAGGCACCCAUCUUUCCACCUGUUAGAACCCUCCCUCCAAAUCUGUGAGCUUCCCAUCCUGCCCAUCUCUGUGAGUCCAACCACAGUUCUGGGACCAGUCUCUAUAGCUGCUGAUUGAUUUUUUUAAUGUUGUAUUGGACUUUGCCAAGUGCAAUUCUGCUUCCCAUCUCAUCGCAGGUCACUGAUAGUUUCUAUCCGGUAGAAAACAAUGAGCAGAAAUUGUUUCCUUACUAAGAGCCCAAGGAACAGGUUUGGUUCUGACCUUCUUUAUUCUUCAAAGACUGGAUCUGUUAGAAAUAAGAAGGUUCCUUCUGUGCCAAGGUGAACCCGGAGUACCCACCAUCUCCUGACUGUUCGAGUCAGCAAGGCAGAACUUGGAAGUGUGGGUGGGAUACCGCCCCCACUACCAAAACCUCUAGAAUGACAGCCCAAACCGGGAUACAGAAGGUGUCCCUCGCCCCCUUGACAAUCAAAUUAGGUUUGGAGGAGGGGGGAGGGAGGAAAUUGCUUAAACUGAGGCCAGAAGCUGGAAUGGCCAAGGAGCACAGAAAAUAAAUACCUCCCUCCUCUGACCUUCUGUGCAGUGGAUCGAGACUUUCAGCUGCCGGCUGCAGGUCACCUCUGCCCAGAGCGUGACAUACCUGCUCUGCCUGCACCAAAAGAGGAACUAUGGAAUGGGUUCUAUUCAUGCCUCUGUCUACCUGGAACUCCAACCCUCUUCACAUCUGGCAGACACGUCUCUCCAGGAAUCUGUCUGUUUGUUGUUAUAUUGUAUUCUCCCAAGCGUCUAGUGCAAUAAAUAUAAUUGAAUGAAUUUACGAAUCUUCAAAGAGCUUUUGAAAUCAUAUCUCCUCCAGGAGGCUAUGAGUAAUCUCUCAUCUCCCCACCUUAUUUCUCUCACUACUAUCCAUUCAGCAAUUCCAUGUCACCGGAGUACUUGAGUAUUCACACUUGUAUAUCUUUCUUUAUAAGCUAUUGAUCCCACCUACCUGUACUUUAUUUUAAUGGCUGCCUCCCCUACUAGACUGCAACCUUCUUGAGGGUAGGACCCGUGACUACUAAAUCUAUUGUGUUCUCCUAAGCACUUUGUAUAGAUUUCUAUACAGAUUAAGCUGUCAAUAAAUAUUCUUGAUUGUUUGA